This is a long non-coding RNA of Rosa chinensis, 762 nucleotides long. RefSeq lists it as uncharacterized. The transcript is spliced from 3 exons. NCBI's taxonomy places the organism in Eukaryota, Viridiplantae, Streptophyta, Magnoliopsida, Rosales, Rosaceae. The record is from RefSeq and is a predicted model, not a curated record.
CUUUGAGAUAGCUGUUAGGAGAUAUGGAUCAAAUAUCUGAGUUGGUGGAACCCCUUAUGGGGACACAGCCAGUCGCUGCUUUUGAUUUUAACAACUCGGCUUAUUUCGGAGGCACUUGGGCUGCGUUUGGGGGGGGGGCUUUUUAGCUCCCCCGCUUAUAAGCAGAAGACCCAGAAGCGUUUGGUAACCCGACUUCUGAUCAGCUUCUUCCAAAAGCUGCUGCGGCUUCUCUAGAAAAGUAGAAGCUGCCUGACCCCUGCUUUCAGAAGCCAGAAGCCAGGAUCUCACUGUAGCGGUAGUGACUGUAGGUUAAUGAAUCUUUGAAAAUACCGGUCUCUAUCCUCCCUUGGUUGAGGCAAUUACGCAGACGCCAUGGAUACUCCUCUUCAGUCUUCACGCAGACGCUGCUCACUCGAAUCUCUCUAUCUCUCUUUCUGACUGAUGUUAAGCAAGCUGAUGGAGUUCUGUUUUCAGAACAAGAGAGGAAGCGUCUCUUUGAGAAGUGGGGUAUUGCACCGACUCAAAAGCGAGGCUGGAGCUAGCCAACCGCCAUGUCUGUUAUGAUAUUUUUGCUGGUCCAGCCCUGGUAGAUUUUCCGUAGAUCGGAUAUGUCAGGCCAAAGUUUUGAUGCUGUAAGGAAGCUGAAGUUAUUCAGAGAUGAAACAUACAGUGCCUUCUAUUUAAUAAGAACUCACCUGAUGGAAAACUUGGUGUCAUUUAUGUACAGAAUAUGAUAAGAGAACAAGGAUUUUCUUAUUGUGA